This is a long non-coding RNA of Peromyscus eremicus (cactus mouse), 2125 nucleotides long. RefSeq lists it as uncharacterized. The transcript is spliced from 3 exons. The record is from RefSeq and is a predicted model, not a curated record. Lineage: Eukaryota; Metazoa; Chordata; Mammalia; Rodentia; Cricetidae.
GCGUGAGUACCCAGCCCUCUCAUACUACAAGGGACAGAAUGUCCCUCUUCAAAAAUCUUUCAGGAGAAGGUUCCCUCGCGGAGACAAUGACAGCAGUACUCCCGGGAAGGUUUUUGGAAACAGUGUUGACACCAGGAGAAGAGGCUCCUAGGAAGUGUCAGUGCGGCAGCAGGUGGAGUAGCCCUGCGUGCCGAGCAGGUCCUUUCUGACCUAGUCUCCAAGUCCUCCGCCUCCCUGUCCCGGUUCCGCCUUACGGACCUUUCCAAGGCGACUCGCGCCCCGGUUCUCUCACCCAGGGCAGGAUUCUCGAGCCUCCCGGGAAGGGAGCCCACCUAAGACGGCCGCCGCACCUCUUCCGGGGACUCGCAGGCCCGCUCCCCGGCAGUGUCGGAACCUGACGGACCCUACCGGGGAGGAGGCAGCCAGCUGCUCCCGGGGUCUGUCCGCGCCCCGGUUCCAGAGCCCCCUCCCUUUCGAGGCACCGCAGCCGUCAUCCGCCUCACUCCUGAACCCCUUCUCCUCCGGAGUACCCCAGCGGAGUUACCGGCCCACUCAAAAGUACCAGCGCCGGCCGCCCCCACCGGUCACCCCGGCCUCGCUGUCACCGCCCAGCUCCCGGCUUCGGCCCGCACCGCCGGCGUGCCCCCGGUGACGCUCGGGUCGGUACCUUGCGGACCCCCUUGUAGAUAUAGAAGUAGAGCUCCCGGCCCACAUUGAAGCAGAGGCGGUCGCCGUUGCCAGACUGGUCGUUGAGGUUUACGAAGGAGACGCGGACAGGGUUGGAUCCCUGCGAGUUGAAGGGCACCCGGUUGGGCCGGCUGUACUCCGAGUGCGGCAGCAGCUUGUACAGACCUUCCCGGGUGGUGAAUUGGGUCUUAAUCUCGUUCAUCUCCUUCCCUCCUCCCUCCGUCGCCAUCUUGGAAAGCAGCGUUCAUCCUGCCCUAAGUGCCCGGAUCACGCCCACCGCGCAGGCGCCGUCCACGGCCGCUCGUUCUCCACCCCCCACCCACUUCGUCGCGGCCCCGCCCAUUCGCGAGCCCGCCCCCACGAAGGCGGGCCGAGGCGAAGGGGGCGGGGUCGUUUACGGUCCCACUGCGCACGCGUGCUCACCUGGCGCGCUCCACCAGGCGGGGCGAGCGCAAGCCCCUCCCCUGGGUGCCGCCCUCUCCAUGCCUGUGGGAAAGCUCCGCUCGCGGAGCUCUGCUCAGGCGUUCCUUGGGUGAGGUGGCGCUGGAACAAGGGAUCUGAAAACAGGGGACUUAGUGAAUGCAAGCAAGUGAAUGGAGCACUCAGAUAUUAUUAAAGUGGAAGUGCGGAAGAAAAUGAAGCUCAAUAGCUGCCUGAGUGCUUGGUGUGGUUUGUGGAACAGAGGAACACUGACCCAGAUGAUAUUGUGGCUGCUGAUGCUCCCCUAGAGGAGUUAGAGUGAGAUUUACUGAACCUAUCUUCCUGAUCCUCCAAUGUUACAUCCUGCAGUCUGGGGAGGGAAGGAGAUUAUGGUGACUGUUGGUGAUUCUUAGCUUCUUGGUAGACCUGCUGCACUAAUUUCCCAGACCUCUGUGAAUUUUAAUUAUUCUGGAUCUGGCCAAGGAAUGCCUAUCUGUUUUUCCAAAAAUGAAUCUGUGACUGGGUGUUUGGCCAUUUAUCCACACUAUAUCUUGGGACUCAGAGAUCACCUUUGCCAGUGUAGUGUUCAUCUGCUGUUGCCCAGAGGAAAUAGAAGGCCUGGAGAAUAGCUGCCUCAGAGAUUUUCCCUCUGUGGGAAAGAGACUUGUUGGAGCAGUCAAACACUAUUAUGGAGGCGAUGUGUGCCUAAAGCCCCUCUUCAGUAUAAUAUCACUGGAAUUCAGAGAUAUGUGCUAGACUGGCCAGGAAACCAAUUGGAGAUACUGAAGAGAACCCCCGAACUGAUGAGGAGGAGUGGGGUAAAGGUUUUGCUGCUGGUUUUUGGUACUCAGGACUGGAGCAGCUCACACAUAUCUUUGGAAGUUGGUAUCAGCAAUGCAUUGGAUUUUAGGAGAGGGAAAAGAAAAGGUUCGGAAUUAGGGAGUUACUCAUACCUCACCUACCACAAAAACAUUUUCUUGUCCCUUGAUUGGAUCGAAGUUAUGAGAAUUGUAACCAA